GUAAAACGUGAGUGAACUUUUAUUUUGAAAUGGUGUAUCGGAAGUUGCCUUAUUACCAUCUUUUCCCUUGACGGAGAAAAGUGAGGGCACAACUGGUGGAGCUCCGAGUGGGCUGCGGAUGAUGUCGACCCCUCUGCGGGGACAUCAGCACCCGGGCGAGAUGUUUACAAUGUCGGGACCACAGUUUCGACCCCCGCCGCCCUAUUACUGCAGCCUUCGGCUCCAAUGAAGCGUCCGCCGAUGAAGCCUCGAGCAGCCAGAGUGAGGCGGAAAGAAGCCGGAGACCGAGAUCAUGUACUGGCGGGUCGGCUUCGCCUGGACGCGGUCGUCUGUGGUUGAUUUGGGGCAAAACGCGAGCUUCUCUUCCGGGGUGCUGGGCUUCGAUGGGCAGCUCUCGUUUUAUGGGUAUAUUAUUGCCUACCCACUGCAGGACUACGGUGGGACAAUGUCAGCUCUGGGCUCGGACUCGUGGUGGCGGAAGACGCUGUAUUUGACCGGAGGAGCUCUGCUCGCUGCUGCUGCUUAUUUGCUGCACGAAUUGUUGGCCAUCAGAAAGGAGCAAGAGCUGGACUCUAAAGAUGCCAUCAUACUCCACCAGUUCUCCAGGCCCAAAACUGGUGUUCCAUCCCUUUCCCCUUUCUGCCUUAAGAUGGAGACCUACCUCCGCAUGGUUGAUCUGCCCUACCAGAACUACUUUGAUGGGAAACUUUCACCACAGGGGAAAAUGCCAUGGAUUGAGUACAACCAAGAACAGGUGUACGGCACAGAAUUUAUCAUAGACUUCUUGGAGGAGAGGCUGGGAGUCAGUCUCAACAAGAGCCUGACGCCACAGGAGAAGGCCAUGUCCCGCGCCAUCACCAAAAUGGUAGAAGAACAUUUUUACUGGACCAUAGCUUACUGCCAAUGGGUGGACAACCUGGAGGAGACUCAGAAAAUGCUGUCGGUGAGCGGACCACUGAGUGACCUGCUUAAGUGGAUCCUGAGUCACCUGACGGGUGGGAUCGUACAGAGGGAGAUGUAUGGACACGGAAUUGGUCGGUUUUCUAAGGAGGAGGUUUAUGCAUUGAUGGAAAAGGACAUGCGCACCCUUGCUACUCUACUAGGUGAUAAAAAAUACCUUAUGGGUUCCAAGCUGACAUCUGUAGAUGCUGCAGUUUUCAGUCACCUGGCUCCUGCAAUGUGGACGCUACCAGGAACACGUCCAGAGCAGCUCAUCAAAGGUGAGCUGAUCAACCUGGCCAUGUACUGUGAGCGUAUCCGCCGGCGUUUCUGGCCCGAGUGGUUCGUGGACCUGGAGGACUAUUACUACAGUGACACCACAGAGCCUAGUGACUCGCCCUCCAAGCUCCCUGAUCUGGGUCUCUACUCCCGCACGGAAACUUCCCAAGAAAACACACACACUCACACUUCACGCACCCCUACACCGCUGCGGCCGCUGUCCCCUGACAGUGACCCUACAGGCCACUCGCUUUAUGACUCUGACAUGGACACCGAGUGCUCAGACAUAGAACAGCUUAAGUGUUGACAACGCAUGGCGGCAUACGCUACACAUGUAGAUGCACACCACAGGACGGAGCUGUGAACCUCUUAGGGCAGAAAAGAACCAGGGAGUACUUGUGGUGUUGUUUGUGUUGGUGGAGAAAUGAGAGGUUUAACAGUGAAAGAGUGAUUCAGUGGUAAAUAGGUCAGAGGUCAGGAAGUCAGAUAAAAAAGUCCAGAGAAAAAGAUGGAGGCCACAAAGAAAGUUUGACAGGGAAGAACUAGAAUUCUAAAAAAUCAGGAGUAAAUGACGCCACUGCUGAGAAACUCCUCCACGUGUUUGACAUCAUCAGCAGUCACUCCCUUCUGUCUGUCACCCCAGUGGCUGAAACCUUUACAACUACUGUGUGUGUAUACAAUGUGUGCUUGUGUGGUCCGUGACAUACACCUACUGGUCAAUUCAUUAGGUACAUCCUGCUAUUUAUGUAUUGACAUUUGCUUUCAAAACGGCUUUAUUAUUCAAGGCACAAAUUUAUCAUAAUAUUUGGAAACAUGUUUGUGUGAGAGAAUCCCAGCAUGACAGCGUUUUUUGUUUUUUUUUCCAGUGACAAAAAGUCACUUGAAUCCUCCUUAUUAUAAUGCUGGACCUCGUCCAUGUUUACAAGUCCAAAUGCAUUGACCUCUCUGCCAUUUAACAGACUAAUUGGACAUUUACAUUGUCAGGCAUUUUAACAGAUGUACCUAAUAAAGUGGUCCAGAAGUGUACCAGGGGAAGCCAAAUAGUUAUAAUUUAAAUAUAUAUAUAUAUCUAUAUAUAUAUAUAUAUAUAUAUGUGAACAUUUCUAUCUGCAAAAAAGUUCUUUAUUUGUAGAAGUCUAGAAAAAGAGAUCAAGUAACUUUGAGGGAAGGAAAAUAAUCAAAUGAAGCUAGAUCAGAACCUGUUGCCAAGCUUCAAUUCAUUCAAAUUUUCAUUCAUGUUUGGGUUAAAGAAUUUGACGUACUGAUGGAGCUUGUCAGAGCGUUAAUCUUCACAUGUUCUAGCUAUCUAGCUGGUAAGCAGUCACACCAGUCCUAGAACUUCUUGACUUUGACCCUCCUACAGCUCAUACUCACCUCAUCUGACCUUGUGUGAGGUCUUUGACUCCCAGUGUCAAUAUAACAUCGAGGCAUAAGGACGUGUACAGGUUUAAUGGUAGUGACCAUUAGUGUAAAUAUAUAAAUGGAACUGAUUUGAUUCUCAGAUUUAAAUAGAUAGAAUAUUUAAUUCUGUAUGACUAUAAAUAGUAUAGAUAGCCUGCAAAUAUAAAAUCCUCCCCUCUGUGAUAUGGUGUAAAUAUUGUAGGUGUUUCUUCUAGAAAUUGUCCCUUGUGUUGGACACAAAUGAUCACAUUGUCUCCAUAAAGACUCACUGUCGCUGCUGGUCUAGGAUCAGUUUAUUGAGCUAGCUUAUGUGUUGGCGUUAUCUGUUUCCAUGUCUGUCUUUCUGUACAACUGGCAUAUUGCGGUCAUUUCCGCUGCUUGGAUUUAAGAUGAUGAUCUGUAAUCUCCGACUAGCACUUUUAUGUCUUAAUGUUAAGACAAUUAUUUGCCAAAAAUCUUUGUUUUUCCAGGUGUGGACCAAACAUGUUCAGGAUUCUGUGUUGUUUAAAUCCUCGUUCAGAGCAUUAGUUUUGAGUCAACAAUACGCAGCUUACAUUCAUGCAUACUAAGCGAGAAAAACAAUCAUGUAGAAAUAGAUUAAAAAGAUAUAUAUUAUCAGAAUGAAAAUGCAUGGCGGACACGUCCCUUUACUAUUUUAGGACAACCGUUUCAUUUGCAUGUUGUAGCUGGUCUGAUUAAGUUCUCUUAUGGCAAGGAUGUAGCAAACUGAUCACCACAGGCAUAGGUUUAUUUGAUUUAUUUUAUUCCUUAUGAUGGACUGUGUUGCGUUCAGGGUUUUGUGAAGGAAGCGUGCAGAUUACUGUGUGUUUGUCGUUCAGCAAAUGCACAUAUCAACUUAUCGUGUUUGGGCUUUGUGUGGAAGUUGCUGCUCUUGUGGAUGUUACAACUUUCCCCCACAUCUUUCACACAAAUAUUGGUUGACAGAGGACUGCGGUGUCGUUGUCAUGCUCGUGAUCCUGAAAAGGAUUUUUAAGAAUUGUAAAACAAAGAACAAAACAUUAACAAGGUCAACACUACAAUAAAAAAUGACUAUUGGAUUUAUUUGUCAACAUUUACUCAUGGGAACUUCAUUGGUUGAACUGGACUACAUGAGCACAACACGGACGUGGCUCUAGACCAAACCAAAGUGUGCGGUCCAAGUACAGUGACCUUUAAUCCUGCACACGUGAUCGCAAUGGAACCUGUGGGCAGGCCUUUAUGGUUCCUUGCUUUCAGGCCACUUGGGCUAAAUGCCUGUUGCUAACAGGAAGUGUUCCAGUAGAGCUAUAAACAUGCUGUUGCGUUUCUCGUAAUCUUUCUGUUAUUUGUCACUGUUUAAUUAUUUGCUGACUGAUUGACUUUGUAACUUUAUGUUUUAGAGAAAAGGUGUGUCCUUGUUUCACCACUGUAAAUUUGAUUUGACAAUAAGACACUAAUGUUGUUGGUGAUGAUAAUCAUGUUAGUCUUAGUGAGGAUUUAGUGAUGUAAUUAAAUAUUGUCUGCUGUGCAAAGGUUAAAAAAGAAAAUUCACACUAAGGAAGUUGAGACAUUUGGCAUACUGCCUGACAUAUUGCCUAAAACAAAAGUAAAAACUCUUGCCUUUAUGUUUUUUCCCCCCUGAUAUGCAGCCUUAAGGUGUUUACUUUGUGCAAGUGCCAGCAUAUGAUUUAUUUUAUACAUUUUACUUUUAAGAGUUGUUUUUUGUUUGUUUUGUUAAAGUGUCUGUUUAUGUUUGCUCUGUGUUUGUAACAUAUGUUUUUUUCUUAUCUGGUUUAUACAGAAAGUCCUUUCACGUUGCUUUGUGCUACUUUGUUUUGUGCAAUAACAUCUCUGGUUAAAUGUAUGUUGACGUCAAACAACGAGGGAAAUGCUGAAUUCCAUGUCGCCGGUCAAAGCCAUGACUGCAUGUUUGUCCAUGUUUUGAGAUGUCACAUAUUGUCAUAAACUUUGAACACUGUCAUGUUAGAAGUUAUCAGUUGUCCUUUUUUCCCCAACAAUGUCACUGUUGUUUAAAGUCUCAGAGUAACCUCAGAUGAAAAAAAAUAAAAAAUAAAAUCUGGUCCAACAUGGUAAAAUUCCUAUUUUUUUUUUUGUAAGCGUGACAUUUUGCCUUACAUUUUUUAAACUAAAUCCCAAUCUCUGGCUCUGGGAGGUUAACAAUAUUUACUUUUUAAAUAUUUUUCAUCACUCCUUUUGGCUACAUUCAGCCACCGGGCGCCGCUAUUUCUUUUGCUUACAAUACUUCCUGUCAGGUCACAUCCUCAAAGUCGUGGCUCUAUUUUGUGACGUCACACGUUAUCGAGAAACACUGGAUUUACAAAUAUGCUAACAGGUGGGGGGGUGUCAGCAACACAUUUAAAGACUCGUGGCUGGAAGGAAUGUUUAUUGGAUUACAUCACAAAGGUGGACAGACCAGGGACCGAGAUGUGCAUAUGGCCGCCUGCUACUGUAUCUGGGUGAAAAAGAAUUUGGAGUGACACAUGUGGUCAAGCUCUGGGCCACAAAACCCAGACGAAGACUUCUACAGCAAAGAUUGCACUGCUCCCUCUCCUUCCUUGUUUCCUCUUUCCCUCUCUCAGUUUUUAAUUAAACAGAAGCAGGGGGCUGCAAAAAACCUGCUACUAAUUACACAGCCGCUGCCUCUCUCCUGCUCUGUCCCUGCCUCUCUCGCUCUCUCCCUGCUCUUUCUUCUGUUUGCUUGUUCCUCUCCCUCCGUUCCUCUGUCUCCCUGAGCUGAACUGGAGCUCUGCCAACAGCCUGUGGAAUCACUUACCAGCUUUCACAAUGGGAGGAGAGAACGUGAGCUCGUUGGAGUCCACACACACAAAUGUGAGUAAACUGCAUGCACACAUACGCUUUGGCACAAAUGUGUGCAAUCACAGAUGCUGAGCAAAAUGUUUGGAAGUCAAAGUGCUAAAUGCAGACUCACAAAAGUCCACAGAUAUAGGUCAGGCUCAAGACAUCCUGACUUACUCCUGCAUAUCCACUGAGCACCUCUGCCUUCACUCUGUGUGUGUGUGUGUGUGUGUGUGUGUCUGUGGCUGGUGUAGGGGUUGGAAUGCAAAGAUAGGUUAACCAGCUCUCUAAUGAGAGUGAACACUAAUCAUAUUUCACACUGACAGACACACAAUCACAACAUCUGUAUCCACUGACUCCCACCCUGUCAUUUUUCUCCAUCCUCCUCUCUGGUGAACAUUCCUUCUUCCCUCUCCUCCAUGUUAUAGUGUACCCCACCUCAAUUCCUCUGCUUCCCCUCCAUCCUUUCUAUCACACACAAGACUUGGGAGCUCUCUAUCACUCCCCUAUUUUCCUGAUUGCUCUCUUCUGUCUCUUUUAUUUUCUCCUUUUUGGAGCGAUCAAGCAUGGAAAGGCUGAAAAGACAGAGAACGCUAAAGACGUUUGGCUCGUGCCUCCAUCAACCAAGUUUCCUUCUUUCUCUGCCUCUCUCCGUUUUCUUUUCUUUCUGUUCCUUGUUUCAUUCUUGCUGUGAGUGCCUUCUCUUAUUCAAGCUUUUGCUUCAAGCAGGGUUUCUGGUGGACUGUAAUUUAACAACCUGCAGCCCAAUCCAUCACACAGACAAUCUGCACACACUGCCGCUAUGCAUCACCUGCAGGCCGUGUGUGUGUGCGUGCAAUUUUGUCAGGAGGUGUAUUUGACGAGUAGAUUGUACGUAAAUCAGUGGAAUGCUAGAUGAGAAAAAUUGACGGGAAAGUGAAAGAUUUAGGUAUAAGACAAUUGGGGAGUCACAUUCACUGAGGAAAUGCACAAUAACAGCUCUGAGCUGUGUCUGACAGAGUAGGGAGUGAUAAAACAGCAGCGCUGAGCUUGAUAACAGGCAGUAAAGGCAGCAGAUAUAGAGCGAUGUAGCUUUAUAGCUAAAGUAGCUGGACAGCAGGAGUGGGCGGGACGUGGGAGCCCCCUCUGCUGCAAUCAAGUCGCUGUCACCAUCUGGACGCCAUUUUAAAACCAUCAGCUCUGGCUUCUCAUGUAAACAAGGGCACGACCCCAGACAUGCUUCCCUCACUAAAUUGUUUUUUUUUUUUUUUUUCCUGGCAGCUGCAGACCCCAAAAUGGCUGACUUUAUGGGGUAAAAACAGGAGCCAGAAUGGCUGACCUACUGUACUACACAGGAGGCCAUUCUGUUCCUCAUUAUCCCAGCAUUUCUCACUGUGAACAAAAUAUGUUGUGUUGAUAUCCAUCCAAAAUUAGCCAAGCUUCAGCACUUGACUUUAAGUAGAAAUGGAUAUACUGUUUCAGUUGGAUAUGAAAUUCUAAGAAUAAAAGGAAAACAAUAAUCAUUAUCAUUGAACCAUAAUGUAUAGAGAUAACAUAAAAUAUUGAAAAUUAAAAUACAAUCUUACUUUAUAAUCAUUGUUUUGUCCAGGUUAAUUCUUCUUAAUUCAAAUAUUUGCUAUCUUUCUAAAUCUUAACUGAAUAUGUCUUAGAAAGCAAUCAAAGCAUAAAUAUCUGAGUCAACGCUGCCCCUGUUGGAUUCCAGCACCAAUUGUAAAAUCUGUUUUUGUGUUAGCUGUACAGCCCUGACAUCAAAAUAAACCUUUAAUCACACUGUAUUUAAAAUAUUCUGUGUUCUGCAAUUUUGUUUUUAGUGACAUAACUUAUACAAUGUCUCCUCCUGUGACCUGCUGAUUCAACCCCUUCCCCAUCUCUGACUUCCACUUUUUUAAGCUACUAUUCCCUUAGUCACUAUUAUUGUUCUUCAAGUAAUAUUUCCAGCAGUGAUCACUAUUUUUUAAUUUAAUGAAAACCCCUGCCAUGCUACUAUUUGGCAGCUUUAUUGAGCGUAGAUUCAUGGACUUGAAUAUCUUUAGUUUUCUUUCACUCCACUACUUUUUCUGACAAUAAAAUGAUUUUGGCAACAAAACUAUUAUCUCUCCUAGUGUACAAUAGCCUCUUUAUCAGAAUUAUC
RNA transcript from Cynoglossus semilaevis (tongue sole), 7546 nucleotides. It is a transcript of the gene named failed axon connections homolog, metaxin like GST domain containing a, with no coding region annotated. The record is from RefSeq and is a predicted model, not a curated record. The transcript is spliced from 8 exons. NCBI's taxonomy places the organism in Eukaryota, Metazoa, Chordata, Actinopteri, Pleuronectiformes, Cynoglossidae.